Molecule: long non-coding RNA, 3557 nt
Organism: Gallus gallus (chicken)
Lineage: Eukaryota; Metazoa; Chordata; Aves; Galliformes; Phasianidae
Source: Ensembl
CUGCGGUUCUGGACACGGUGACAGUUAAUACCCUAUUCCGUUCAGGGGUUCUGCAUUCUGCAGGUCCUGUUUGCAGCCCUUUUCAAGCCCAUUUCUUUCUGGUUGAGCCGCUGUUUCCUCUUUCAUGGUUUUCACCUCAUGAUCUCCAACCUCAGCUCCAAAUGUGGUUUGUCUUCUCCCCCAUCAUCCCAUCUUAUGGCUGUAAUUCACAGUGGCAUGUGUUAAUUACACCCACGCAGAGUUGUUUAAGGGCAUGCUGGGCAUCAUUAUCAUGUUUUAAAUUAUGUCCUCUCUUCUGGUCUCAGUUUGCAGCUCAGUGGGUUUUAAGGAUUGUUGGGACUCCUCUAAUCGGUGGUGUGAGGCCUGUGGAGCAGCUAAUGGAACAUCACGACUAUGCUGACUUCCCCAGGGUAUUACGGUCAUUUCUGUCUCACCAGCAGAUCUGGGUUUGUGUUAAUAAAAAAGAAAGGGUUGUCCUCUUCUGGAUGACUACAGUCAGGAUCUCCAGAUAUCUCAUCCCAAUUGUCAGGAGAUGCUAUUUGUUUCCUAAUCUGUAUGAUACCCAAACCCCCACACCUUUUCCUCCCAUCCCCUGACCCCCAUUAAGUAACUUAUAAACAGCAUUAAUUAUAUCCCUAAUACUCCCUUGCGUCAUCCUAUAGAGCAAUGCACGCAGGGUGCAGCCCUACAUAUGCGGGGCAGCGCCUUCAUUCCUGCAUUGUGUCCAACAGGUGGCAGCAGAGAGCUGCAGCGCUCCCGAGUGCUGUAAGGACUGCACGGAGAGACGUGCGGGUCUUCACGGGAACAGCCAGGAACCGAAAGCUGCAUUUCCCGGGAUGCCCUGGAGCUCCACUUUGCUGACUGGUAAUUGUCUGCCCAGCAGGUAAGGACAAUGCACACCCACCAGUGUUUACCCCUUACUGAGUGAGACACAAGGUAGGGUUCCCAGAGCUCCUUUCUGCACUUCAGGGUUCCCCAAAGGCUGCCCGUCCUAUUCUUUGCACGUUCUCCUUGGCUCUGGCCUUUCACGGUGGUGUUCUCCUUCCCUUUGCCCUUGGCGUUCCCUACUACAUUCUCUUGUCCUCUUGUUUUUGCAUUCCUUGUCAUGUUCUCUUGGCCAUUGCCUUUGGCCUUCUUUGCGGCAUUCUUUUUGGCCUCCGGUUUUGGCAUUCCCUGCUGCGUUCUCUUUGGCCAUCACUUCUGGUGUUCCAUGCAGUGUUCUAUUUGGCCUUAUGUUUUUGCCAUCCAUGCCACGUUCUCCUGGCCAUUGCGUUUGACCGCCUUUGCCACAUUCUCUUUGGCGUUGCCUUCCAUGUUCUCUUUGACCUUUGCCCUUGGCCUUCUUUGCCGUGCUCCUUUCAGCCUCCUGUCGUGGCAUUCUCUGCGACGAUCUCUUUGGCCUUUGGUUUUGGCAUUCCUUGUUGCGUUCUGUUUGGCCUUUGCCUUUGGCCUUCUUGUUUUGGCAUUCCCUACAGCGUUCUCUUCGGUCUUUGGUUUUGGCCUUCUGUGCUGCAUUCUCUUUGGCCAUUGCCCUUGGCCUCCUGCAUCGGCCUUCCCUGCAGCGUUCUCAUGGACCUCGCCCUCCAUUUUGGCCUUGCCACGGUGUUCUCUUUGGUCUCUGUUUUGUUCUCUGAGGCCCUCUCUUUGGGCCUGCCCUCUGAGGAGGUCUUCUCUUUGGUGUUCUCCAUACCUUUGCUUUCACUGUGCCUUUGACGUUGCCUUCCCUUGGUUGUUGUCUAUGCCUUUGCCCUCGGUUUUGGUGUUCCCUCGGGUGUUGUUGCCUUUGCCUUGGCCUUCCCUACCAGUCCCUUUGAGCAUAACCCUAAUAAACCUAACCCUUAUACCUUCACCCCAAUCCUAAUGAGCUCUGAACUCCAAACAUAGUGCUAAUCUGAUGCAACACCCUCAGCAAACUUACCAAAGGUGCACUCCAUGCCAUCAGGCAGGUCUUCAAUGAAGAUAUUGGACAGAACAGGCCUGAAGAGCACUCAGGAUGGCAUACCAGCUGCAUUUAACACGAUGGAGCAGCACUCAUUAGGCCAGGCGGUUCAGCUACUUCUUCAUCUAGCAAGCAGCGUACCCGUCCAAGUAGCCGGCUGCAAUCUUUCAGAGAAUUUUGAGGGAUAGCACAUCAAAGGCUUUGCCUCACUCAGGGGGUUGGGUCACCUUCGCUUUGAGAUUGCUAGCGUGGCUGACCCUAAUCCCGUAACUGACAUCCCGUAGCUGGACAGGGACCAUUCGCACUCCAUCCAGGCUGUUUGAGACUCACGGCCAUGCUGAGAGUCACACUGAUUUCAGCGCGUGCAGUCAUUUUGCAUCAACCCAAUUGGCUUUAGCUUUACAAAUAAUUUAUCUCAACCAAAUUGGCUUUAGCUUUGCAGUUAAUGCAUUGCAAAUAAGUUGGCUUUAGCUUUGCCUUGCUUACGGGGUUGGGUUAGCUUUGCUUUGUUUGUUUGUACCGCAGGGCUAACCCAACCCCGUAACCAACGCCCGAGGCCUUCGGAGCCCAUUUGCGCUCCUUCCCGGCCAGUCUGAGACUCGCGCCCCUUUGUGGCCAUUCUGAGAGUUGUGCCGAUUUUGGCAGGUGCAGUCAAUUGAUCUUGCCCAAAUUGGCUUUAGCUUUGCAAUCAAUUGAUCUUGCCCAAAUUGGCUUUAGCUUUGCAAUCAACUGAUCUUGCCCAAAUUGGCUUUAGCUUUGCAAUCAAUUGAUCUCAGCCAAAUUGGCUUUAGCUUAGCCUUGCUUACGGGGUUGGGUUAGCUUUGCUUUGUUUGUUUGUACCGCAGGGCUAACCCAACCCCGUAACCAACGCCUGAGGCCAUUGGAGCCCAUUUGCGCUCCUUCCCGGCCAGUCUGAGACUCGCGCCCCUUUGCGGCCAUUCUGAGAGUUGUGCCGAUUUUGGCAGGUGCAGUCAAUUUGUCUUGCCCAAAUUGGCUUUAGCUUUGCAAUCAAUUGAUCUCAGCCAAAUUGGCUUUAGCUUAGCCUUGCUUACGGGGUUGGGUUAGCUUUGCUUUGUUUGUUUGUACCGCAGGGCUAACCCAACCCCGUAACCAACAGAGCCCAUUUGCGCUCCUUCCCGGCCAGUCUGAGGCUUGCAUUUACUUCAGGUGGGCUGAGAUGUGCUCUGCUCUUGAGGUGGGUUGCAGUACACAAUAUUAGUGUAAAUGUAAUGUUAUUUAUUGGAUAUGGAGGCUUUGUGACCUUUGUCUUGUGAAUCGGACAUAUGUGUUAUAUGUAAACCAUGCCUUAAAAUGUAUGGAGUGCGCGGGUGCUGCGCCUGUAAACGGUGUCUUGCAAUUGUAUGGAAUCAGUGUAUUCAUGUUUUGUUUGUCAACAUGUAGGCAUUGCUGUAGUGUGCAUACAAUUGUAUGAGUCAUGUCUUGAGGAAACAGUGCUGUAAUGAACAAAUACUUGUGCAAUCUAAUUCAGUGGUGUGCCUUGAUUCAACAUUACCAGGUCACAGAUCCCACUUGAAGCUAAGUGCAACAGGUAGGUGUGAAGGUAAGGUAGACUGUGAGACAUUGGGUUAGACUUAGGUGUUAGACUUAGGGUUAGGGU